ACGACUCCUUCUACUGCUGGAAUGUUUGGGGCAAGGAGGUGUUUGUUAUACAACCCGAUACCUGCUAAACCAGCUUCUAAUCUAGAUUCUAAAUCAUGUUCUACAGUUGGACAUCAGACUUGUGCUGGUCACCUGGAACUCAGAACCAAUAAGCCCCCCCUAAAACCAUUGCUGCUACCUCCAGUCUGUGAGGGAGGAAGAAGGCUGCCCUACCCUUUUAUGAGGACUUCUUCCAAAGGUGGUUACAGGCUUCUGAGCUCAAACCAGAUCUUCAUGUUUGGCAGCUUAAAUUUUACUAGGGAUCUGGGUAACCUUACCCAAAGCUAUAUAAGGAAAAUGAUUGCUUCACCUGCGUGGAAGUACCCUCUUCUUCUCUGCCCUGUAUCUCUUAACCUUUAGGAGUAGAGUUCUGGAGACUGACGUCAAGAGCAGAUCCCAACUCUUCUGCUGAUAUGUUGGGUGACCUAGGACAAAGCCCUUCACCUCUCAGAGCCUCAAAUGGCAGCACAGCUAAAAACAUCUACCUACCACAGAGGUUGUUGUAUCAGUCAGAUGAUGCACAUAAAUACAUGGUGUGGUAUCUGGUUCAUAAUAAAGAUCAAUAACCUCUCUGUUA
Long non-coding RNA from Canis lupus familiaris (dog), 616 nucleotides. RefSeq lists it as uncharacterized. The transcript is spliced from 2 exons. The record is from RefSeq and is a predicted model, not a curated record. Lineage: Eukaryota; Metazoa; Chordata; Mammalia; Carnivora; Canidae.